GCCGCGCCGCGGCCUCGAUGCUUUCCGCCUCGACGACAAGGUAGCCGCAAAAGGGGUUCACGGCAGCGGCGACACCGUCCUUGGUCACGCGCGUCGUCUUGCCCACCAUGCCACCACGAUCGAGGAUGGAUGCGGCGUUUCUGUCCU
RNAcentral lists this small RNA (147 nucleotides) under Sinorhizobium meliloti 2011. Its description in RNAcentral is "putative ncRNA". Lineage: Bacteria; Pseudomonadati; Pseudomonadota; Alphaproteobacteria; Hyphomicrobiales; Rhizobiaceae. The record is from RNAcentral.